RNAcentral lists this ribosomal RNA (480 nucleotides) under uncultured bacterium. RNAcentral's name for it is "bacterial SSU rRNA". It matches the Rfam family "Bacterial small subunit ribosomal RNA", at positions 20 to 518 of the family's 1533-position model. The record is from RNAcentral.
UGGCUCAGGACGAACGCUGGCGGCGUGCCUAACACAUGCAAGUCGAGCGAGGAGAUCCUCGGGAUGAUCCUAGCGGCGGACGGGUGAGUAACACGUGGGCAACCUGCCUCAUAGAGAGGAAUAGCCUUCCGAAAGGGAGAUUAAUACCUCAUAACAUUGCAGUUUCGCAUGGAACAGCAAUUAAAGGAGUAAUCCGCUAUGAGAUGGGCCCGCGGCGCAUUAGCUAGUUGGUGAGGUAAUGGCUCACCAAGGCGACGAUGCGUAGCCGACCUGAGAGGGUGAUCGGCCACAUUGGGACUGAGACACGGCCCAGACUCCUACGGGAGGCAGCAGUGGGGAAUAUUGCACAAUGGGGGAAACCCUGAUGCAAGCAACGCCGCGUGAGUGAUGACGGCCUUCGGGUUGUAAAGCUCUGUCUUCAGGGACGAUAAUGACGGUACCUGAGGAGGAAGCCGCGGCUAACUACGUGCCAGCAGCGGC